Long non-coding RNA from Peromyscus maniculatus bairdii (prairie deer mouse), 1144 nucleotides. RefSeq lists it as uncharacterized. Lineage: Eukaryota; Metazoa; Chordata; Mammalia; Rodentia; Cricetidae. The record is from RefSeq and is a predicted model, not a curated record.
AGGGAGGGGCUGUGCAGUUUAUCUUUCAGAAGUUCGUGGCUGGACCCGGGGGGCUUUGCAGAGGAAAUGAGCGUCUGCAGCACAGCCCUGGAUUUUUUUGUUUUUUGUUUUGUUUUGUUUUUUAAGACAGAAUCUCAUUGCGUAUCUCUGGCUGUCCUGGAACUCAACAGCGAUCCACCUAUCCCUACAACUCUUGCUUGCGGGGCUGGGGUUGGGGGUCACAGAACAGAAAGACAGGAAAAGAUCACUGGAAAGAAAACUUUUAUUAGGUCAGAUGCUUCAAAACCAGAGGAGACAGCACAGAGUGUGGAGAGGUCUUAGCUGAGUCACAGAACAGCUACAAAUGAUGGGGGCACUGGGAGAAAAGCAAAGAACAGAUCUGGAAUCUUGAAGCAACACCAACCCCAUGCUGAUGUCCCUGGUGUGUUUCCAGAGUUCCGAUUGACUCCUACCCCUGGUGCUCAUGUUAACGAGAACCCAGUCUCUUAUUUGAUUUUUCUGUAUGGUUUGCCUUGGAAGAUACUUCCUGUCCUUGAUUCCAGGGACCUGUAGUUUCUCUUGCUUUUUUCCUCCCUUUGUGGCCAUUCCUUCCUGCUUCCUUUGAGGAUUUUUCUCCUCCACAAAGUGAUCACCGUGCAAUACACUUGACCCCUCAGCUGAACUCUGGAUGUUUCCAGAUGUGCCAUGGGUAUUUCUAAUUCACUCUAUCCACAUGAACUUGUCACUCUCUGUGUCCCCUCUUGUGAGUGGCAACACCCCCAGAAACCGGUUUUUACGGUUUAAUUCUUAGUUCCCCCUCACCACACUCUCCUCAUUACCAACCUGGUGAUUUAAGACUAAUGAAGAAAUUGUUCAGAACUGAGAAAUUUCACACAAUCCAAACCCUCCAAAGACAUCUAGCCAUUGAACAUGUGUUUCACAAGCUCCUCUGUACAACACACUAUUUAAAUGGAAACACUCAGGUUUUAUACUGAAAGAAAUACAUGCUGGUGCAUUAUCAUUUCGUUAAAUAAUUCCAUAGCAGUAAGCACUGAGAAGAAUUAUAUAUAAAAUUCAAACUAGUGAAUGCACCAGAGUGCUGAGAUGUGUUUAUUUGAUACCUCAUUGUAUGCAAUGUAGAUAAAAAUCAGGAAGAAACACAAGA